UGGCCCAUUUUGAUUUUCUUUUAUUUGUUUUCUAUUAGUUUUCAUUUUCUAAUAAGUUUUGUUUUUUUUAAGUAAAACAAAUUUCAUUUUUGUUAUAUAAUAUUUUCUUUAUUUUUAGUUUAGUAAUGUUUCAAAAAAGAUAAAAAUUAAUUUUUCUAUUUAUUAUUCACUUAUGUAUUUUCUUUUUAUAUAUAUAUAUAUUUCAAAAAAAGACAAAAAGAGGAGAGAUUUAUU
This 234-nucleotide long non-coding RNA is filed under the name Lathyrus oleraceus (garden pea). Its description in RNAcentral is "Pisum sativum (pea) long non-coding RNA (PSAT_LNC007787)". Lineage: Eukaryota; Viridiplantae; Streptophyta; Magnoliopsida; Fabales; Fabaceae. The record is from RNAcentral.